Molecule: ribosomal RNA, 466 nt
Filed under: Vreelandella stevensii
Lineage: Bacteria; Pseudomonadati; Pseudomonadota; Gammaproteobacteria; Oceanospirillales; Halomonadaceae
Description: partial 16S ribosomal RNA
Rfam family: Bacterial small subunit ribosomal RNA
Source: RNAcentral
CCUACGGGUGGCAGCAGUGGGGAAUAUUGGACAAUGGGCGAAAGCCUGAUCCAGCCAUGCCGCGUGUGUGAAGAAGGCCUUCGGGUUGUAAAGCACUUUCAGUGGGGAAGAAAGCCUUGGGGCUAAUACCCUCGAGGAAGGACAUCACCCACAGAAGAAGCACCGGCUAACUCCGUGCCAGCAGCCGCGGUAAUACGGAGGGUGCGAGCGUUAAUCGGAAUUACUGGGCGUAAAGCGCGCGUAGGCGGUCUGAUAAGCCGGUUGUGAAAGCCCCGGGCUCAACCUGGGAACGGCAUCCGGAACUGUCAGGCUAGAGUGCAGGAGAGGAAGGUAGAAUUCCCGGUGUAGCGGUGAAAUGCGUAGAGAUCGGGAGGAAUACCAGUGGCGAAGGCGGCCUUCUGGACUGACACUGACGCUGAGGUGCGAAAGCGUGGGUAGCAAACAGGAUUAGAUGCCCCGAGUAGUC